Ictidomys tridecemlineatus (thirteen-lined ground squirrel) is the source of this 71-nucleotide non-coding RNA. The record is from Rfam. NCBI's taxonomy places the organism in Eukaryota, Metazoa, Chordata, Mammalia, Rodentia, Sciuridae.
GUGGAUAUAACUCAGUGGUAGAGUAUAUGCUUAGCAUGCACAAGAACCUGGGUUUGAUCCCCAGCACCAUG